ACGGAAGGCAGCAGUGGGGAAUAUUGCACAAUGGGCGAAAGCCUGAUGCAGCGACGCCGCGUGAGUGAAGAAGUACCUCGGUAUGUAAAGCUCUAUCAGCAGGGAAGAAAAUGACGGUACCUGACUAAGAAGCCCCGGCUAACUACGUGCCAGCAGCCGCGGUAAUACGUAGGGGGCAAGCGUUAUCCGGAUUUACUGGGUGUAAAGGGAGCGUAGACGGUUUGGCAAGUCUGAAGUGAAAUGCGGGGGCUCAACUCCUGAACUGCUUUGGAAACUGUCGAACUAGAGUGCAGGAGAGGUAAGUGGAAUUCCUAGUGUAGCGGUGAAAUGCGUAGAUAUUAGGAGGAACACCAGUGGCGAAGGCGGCUUACUGGACUGUAACUGACGUUGAGGCUCGAAAGCGUGGGGAGCAAACAGGAUUAGAUACCCUGGUA
RNAcentral lists this ribosomal RNA (434 nucleotides) under uncultured Lachnospiraceae bacterium. RNAcentral's name for it is "partial 16S ribosomal RNA". It matches the Rfam family "Bacterial small subunit ribosomal RNA", at positions 341 to 792 of the family's 1533-position model. Lineage: Bacteria; Bacillati; Bacillota; Clostridia; Lachnospirales; Lachnospiraceae. The record is from RNAcentral.